RNAcentral lists this ribosomal RNA (394 nucleotides) under uncultured Actinomycetes bacterium. RNAcentral describes it as "bacterial SSU rRNA". It matches the Rfam family "Bacterial small subunit ribosomal RNA", at positions 9 to 402 of the family's 1533-position model. Lineage: Bacteria; Bacillati; Actinomycetota; Actinomycetes. The record is from RNAcentral.
GAGUUUGAUCAUGGCUCAGGACGAACGCUGGCGGCGUGCUUAACACAUGCAAGUCGAACGGAAAGGCCCAACUUUGUUGGGUGCUCGAGUGGCGAACGGGUGAGUAACACGUGGGUGAUCUGCCCUGCACUUUGGGAUAAGCCUGGGAAACUGGGUCUAAUACCGGAUAGGACUACGAAUCGCAUGGUUUGUGGUGGAAAGCUUUUGCGGUGUGGGAUGGGCCCGCGGCCUAUCAGCUUGUUGGUGGGGUGAUGGCCUACCAAGGCUGCGACGGGUAGCCGGCCUGAGAGGGUGUCCGGCCACACUGGGACUGAGAUACGGCCCAGACUCCUACGGGAGGCAGCAGUGGGGAAUAUUGCACAAUGGGCGCAAGCCUGAUGCAGCGACGCCGCGU